UAAACUGUAAACAGCAAUAAUGUUCAGCAAAGUAAGAUUUACAAAUAAGUCAGCAUGACCGAAAUGGUCAAUUGACCCCUAAGGAGUUAUUGUCCUUUAUAGUCAAUUUUUAACAAUUUUCAUAAAAUUUGUAAAUUUUUAUUAACAUUUUCCACUGAAACUACUGGUCCAAGUUCAUUAUAGAUAGAGAUAAUUGUAAGCAGCAAGACUGUUCAGUAAAGUAAGAUGUACAAACACAUCACCAUCACCAAAACACAAUUUUGUCAUGAAUCCAUCUGCUUCCUUUGUUUAAUAUUCACAAAGACCAAGGUGAGCGACACAGGCUCUUUAGAGCCUCUAGUUUAUACAUAUCCUGUAAACUAUAUCUUCACUGGUAUUUCUUUAUUUUUUAUAUACAUCUUUUAUCAAGGACUUACAUAUCAAGAAGUUACAAAGCCCCAAAAGUUGGUUUCAAAAAACUUGUGACUAAGAUUGUUUUUACGUCAUGAAGGAUUCAGCUUAAUUACUUUGUCUUAGUCCCUAGAUUUUUUGUGAAACUGACUUUAGAAAUUUGAUAUGAAUUAUGGUUUAUGCAAUAUAUUGUAUGACUUAAAAAAUGUAUAGCUUAUUUGUUGCUGCUUUGAUCUGACACUAGCAUUAUUGUUGAAAUAUAACAUUUUGGUUGUUCUAGUGAUAAAUAUUGGAAAUGUGAAGCUCCUUCACUGUAGUUACAGUGCCUGGUGGAAAUAAUUAUGCCUGAUUGGUUCCUGGUCCUUGAUGGACCUUUUUCAGAGGCAGAAUGAUGAGGUGUUUUUUAGGCUGAUUUAUAGUGUUUUAAAUUACAUGUAUUAUCCAUUUCAGAAAAAAAAGCAAAUAGUGAUAGAAUUAUCUGUUCUCCUAUUUUCAUAAUUGAUUGACUGAUGAUUACUUUAUGCCACAUCAGCACCCUCCUAUUGUAAGUGCUAUAUGCCACAUCAGCACCCUCCUAUUGUAAGUGCUAUAUGCCACAUCAGCACCCCCCCUAUUGUAAGUGCUAUAUGCCACAUCAGCACCCUCCUAUUGUAAAGUGCUAUAGCCCAUCAGCACCCUCCUAUUGUAAGUGCUAUAUGCCACAUCAGCACCCUCCUAUUGUAAGUGCUAUAUGCCACAUCAGCACCCUCCUAUUGUAAGUGCUAUAUGCCACAUCAGCACCCUCCUAUUGUAAGUGCUAUAUGCCACAUCAGCACCAUCCUAUUGUAAGUGCUAUAUGUUUUCUGUAUUCUGUUUCUGAUAUAAAUAAGUGGGUUGAAAUAUUUUUUUUUAAAACUUCUGAAAAUAAUUCAUUGGUUCAAUUAAGGAGGGAAUGAAUACACCUUGUCGCUAUUUCUGGAUAUCACACAGGUUUCCGUAAAAUUUUGACGUCAUAAAACGAAUCAUCUGACGCCACAAUGGAAAAGUGAUUGUUGUAUGCAUCAAAAGUUCAAGCGGCCGGGUCAGCCGGGAUUAGCGAUAAGGUGUAUGCUUUUUAUACGACCGCAAAAUUUGAAAAAUUUUUCGUCGUAUAUUGCUAUCACGUUGGCGUCGUCGUCGUCGUCGUCCGAAUACUUUUAGUUUUCGCACUGUAACUUUAGUAAAAGUGAAUAGAAAUCUAUGAAAUUUUAACACAAGGUUUAUGACCACAAAAGGAAGGUUGGGAUUGAUUUUGGGAGUUUUGGUCCCAACAUUUUAGGAAUUAGGGGCCAAAAAGGGCCCAAAUAAGCAUUUCUUGGUUUUCGCACUAUAACUUUAGUUGAAGUUAAUAGAAAUCUAUGAAAUUUUGACACAAGGUUUAUGACCACAAAAGAAAGGUUGGGAUUGAUUUUGGGAGUUUUGGUUCCAACAGUUUAGGAAUUAGGGGCCAAAAAAGGGCCCAAAUAAGCAUUAUUCUUGGUUUUUGCACAAUAACUUUAGUUUAAGUAAAUAGAAAUCAAUGAAAUUUAAACACAAUGUUUAUGACCACA
This 1958-nucleotide long non-coding RNA is filed under the name Mytilus galloprovincialis (Mediterranean mussel). The record is from RNAcentral. Lineage: Eukaryota; Metazoa; Mollusca; Bivalvia; Mytilida; Mytilidae.